CCUACGGGAGGCAGCAGUAGGGAAUAUUGGGCAAUGGGCGAAAGCCUGACCCAGCGACGCCGCGUGAGGGAUGAAGGCCUUCGGGUUGUAAACCGCUUUCAGCAGGGAAUAAGCGCAAGUGAAGGUACCUGCAGAAGAAGCACCGGCUAACUAUGUGCCAGCAGCCGCGGUAAUACAUAGGGUGCAAGCGUUGUCCGGAAUUAUUGGGCGUAAAGAGCUCGUAGGUGGUUCGAUACGUCGGAUGUGAAAAUCAGGGGCUCAACCCCUGACCUGCAUCCGAUACGGUCGAGCUAGAGUUUGGUAGGGGAGACUGGAAUUCCUGGUGUAGCGGUGGAAUGCGCAGAUAUCAGGAGGAACACCGAUGGCGAAGGCAGGUCUCUGGGCCAAUACUGACACUGAGGAGCGAAAGCGUGGGGAGCGAACAGGAUUAGAUACCCUGGUAGUCCACGCCGUAAACGGUGGGCGCUAGUUGUGCGAACCUUCCACGGUUUGUGCGACGCAGCUAACGCAUUAAGCGCCCCGCCUGGGGAGUACGAUCGCAAGAUUAAAACUCAAAGGAAUUGACGG
This 567-nucleotide ribosomal RNA is filed under the name uncultured bacterium. RNAcentral describes it as "bacterial SSU rRNA". It matches the Rfam family "Bacterial small subunit ribosomal RNA", at positions 338 to 916 of the family's 1533-position model. The record is from RNAcentral.